AAAGUGGAGCAAUCCAUGAGUACAGUGGCGUACGGGUGAGUAACACGUGGAUUAUCUACCUUCUAGUGGGGAAUACCUCCGGGAAACUGGAGACAAUACCGCAUAAGCUCGUAAGAGGAAAGCAGCAAUGCGCUGGAAGAGGAGUCCGCGGCUGAUUAGCUAGUUGGCGGGGUAACGGCCCACCAAGGCGAAGAUCGGUAGCCGGCCUGAGAGGGCACACGGCCACACUGGCACUGAAACACGGGCCAGACUCCUACGGGAGGCAGCAGUGGGGAAUCUUGCACAAUGGAGGAAACUCUGAUGCAGCGACGCCGCGUGAGCGAUGAAGCCCUUCGGGGUGUAAAGCUCUUUCGACGGGAACGAUAAUGACGGUACCCGAAGAAGAAGCUGCGGCUAACUACGUGCCAGCAGCCGCGGUAAUACGUAGGCAGCAAGCGUUGUUCGGAAUUACUGGGCGUAAAGAGUGUGUAGGCGGUGUUCUAAGUUUGUCGUGAAAUCUCCCGGCUUAACUGGGAGGGUGCGGCGAAAACUGGAAUGCUAGAGGAUGGGAGAGGUAAGCGGAAUUCCUGGUGUAGCGGUGAAAUGCGUAGAUAUCAGGAGGAACACCUGUGGUGUAGACAGCUUACUGGACCAUUUCUGACGCUGAGACACGAAAGCGUGGGUAGCAAACAGGAUUAGAUACCCUGGUAGUCCACGCCCUAAACGAUGCAUACUUGGUGUGAGCGAUUCAUUUCGUUCGUGCCGGAGCUAACGCGUUAAGUAUGCCGCCUGGGGAGUACGGUCGCAAGGCUGAAACUC
Molecule: ribosomal RNA, 798 nt
Filed under: uncultured Bacillota bacterium
Lineage: Bacteria; Bacillati; Bacillota
Description: bacterial SSU rRNA
Rfam family: Bacterial small subunit ribosomal RNA
Source: RNAcentral